RNAcentral lists this ribosomal RNA (320 nucleotides) under uncultured eukaryote. RNAcentral's name for it is "partial 18S ribosomal RNA". It matches the Rfam family "Eukaryotic small subunit ribosomal RNA", at positions 1470 to 1796 of the family's 1831-position model. The record is from RNAcentral.
CCCCUAGAUGUUCUGGGCCGCACGCGCGCUACACUGAACAGUUCAACAAGUCUUAACCUUGGCCGAUAGGUCUGGGUAAUCUUUGAACGCUGUUCGUGAUUGGGAUAGACCUUUGCAAUUAUGGGUCUUCAACGAGGAAUUCCUAGUAAACGCAAGUCAUCAGCUUGCAUUGAUUACGUCCCUGCCCUUUGUACACGCCGCCCGUCGCACCUACCGAUUGAAUGGUCCGGUGAAAUCUCGGGACGGCGGCUCGGUCGCUUGCGUCCGACUGCUGAAACUUGAUUAAACCAUAUCAUUUAGAGGAAGGUGAAGUCGUANCA